UACGCUGUGCGGCAGGCCUAACACAUAGCAAGUCGAGCGGUAGAGAGAAGCUUGCUUCUCUUGAGAGCGGCGGACGGGUGAGUAAUGCCUAGGAAUCUGCCUGGUAGUGGGGGAUAACGUUCGGAAACGGACGCUAAUACCGCAUACGUCCUACGGGAGAAAGCAGGGGACCUUCGGGCCUUGCGCUAUCAGAUGAGCCUAGGUCGGAUUAGCUAGUUGGUGAGGUAAUGGCUCACCAAGGCGACGAUCCGUAACUGGUCUGAGAGGAUGAUCAGUCACACUGGAACUGAGACACGGUCCAGACUCCUACGGGAGGCAGCAGUGGGGAAUAUUGGACAAUGGGCGAAAGCCUGAUCCAGCCAUGCCGCGUGUGUGAAGAAGGUCUUCGGAUUGUAAAGCACUUUAAGUUGGGAGGAAGGGUUGUAGAUUAAUACUCUGCAAUUUUGACGUUACCGACAGAAUAAGCACCGGCUAACUCUGUGCCAGCAGCCGCGGUAAUACAGAGGGUGCAAGCGUUAAUCGGAAUUACUGGGCGUAAAGCGCGCGUAGGUGGUUUGUUAAGUUGGAUGUGAAAUCCCCGGGCUCAACCUGGGAACUGCAUUCAAAACUGACUGACUAGAGUAUGGUAGAGGGUGGUGGAAUUUCCUGUGUAGCGGUGAAAUGCGUAGAUAUAGGAAGGAACACCAGUGGCGAAGGCGACCACCUGGACUAAUACUGACACUGAGGUGCGAAAGCGUGGGGAGCAAACAGGAUUAGAUACCCUGGUAGUCCACGCCGUAAACGAUGUCAACUAGCCGUUGGAAGCCUUGAGCUUUUAGUGGCGCAGCUAACGCAUUAAGUUGACCGCCUGGGGAGUACGGCCGCAAGGUUAAAACUCAAAUGAAUUGACGGGGGCCCGCACAAGCGGUGGAGCAUGUGGAUUAAUUCGAAGCAACGCGAAGAACCUUACCAGGCCUUGACAUCCAAUGAACUUUCUAGAGAUAAGAUUGGUGCCUUCGGGAACAUUGAGACAGUGCUGCAUGACUGUCGUCAGCUCGUGUCGUGAGAUGUUGGGUUAAGUUCCGUACGAGCGCAACCCUUUGUCCUUAGUUACCAGCACGUUAUGGUGGGCACUCUAAGGAGACUGCCGGUGACAAACGACGAAGGUGGGGAUGACGUCAGUCAUCAUGGCCCUUACGGCUGGCUACACACGUGCUACAUGGUCGGUACGAAGGUUGCAGGCGCGAGGUGGAGCUAAUCCAUAAACGAUCGUAGUCGAUCCAGCCGGCAACUCGCACUGCGUGGUCGGAUUCCUAGUAUUCCGAAUCAAUGUCCGGGAUUCGUUCGGCUUGUACACACGCGUCAACAUGGGAUCGUUCCCAGAGAAGCUUGUUAACUUCCGGGAUGACGGUUUUACACGUGGGUAUUUCUUAC
Molecule: ribosomal RNA, 1413 nt
Filed under: Pseudomonas sp. M1-8
Lineage: Bacteria; Pseudomonadati; Pseudomonadota; Gammaproteobacteria; Pseudomonadales; Pseudomonadaceae
Description: bacterial SSU rRNA
Rfam family: Bacterial small subunit ribosomal RNA
Source: RNAcentral